CCUGCUGAGAAGGCAAAGGACUGACUGAAA
RNAcentral lists this non-coding RNA (30 nucleotides) under Cricetulus griseus (Chinese hamster). The record is from RNAcentral. Lineage: Eukaryota; Metazoa; Chordata; Mammalia; Rodentia; Cricetidae.